This 773-nucleotide ribosomal RNA is filed under the name uncultured Neocallimastigales. RNAcentral describes it as "partial large subunit ribosomal RNA". It matches the Rfam family "Eukaryotic large subunit ribosomal RNA", at positions 26 to 628 of the family's 3401-position model. The record is from RNAcentral. Lineage: Eukaryota; Fungi; Neocallimastigomycota; Neocallimastigomycetes; Neocallimastigales.
CGCAUCUGUGCAUGCAGCAUAUCAAUAAGCGGAGGAAAAGAAACUAACAAGGAUUCCCCUAGUAACGGCGAGUGAAGCGGGAAGAGCUCAAAUUUGAAAUCUUAAAGGGUUUCCCUUUACGAAUUGUAGUUUAAAGAAGUGUUUUCUGUUGAGGUUUUGGUAAAAGUUCUUUGGAAUAGGACAUCAUAGAGGGUGAGAAUCCCGUAUUUGACCUUUACUUUCAACUUUGUAAUACACUUUCAAAGAGUCGGAUUGUUUGGGAAUGCAGUCCAAAAUGGGUGGUAAAUUUCAUCUAAAGCUAAAUAUUGGCGAGAGACCGAUAGCGAACAAGUACCGUGAGGGAAAGAUGAAAAGAACUUUGAAAAGAGAGUUAAACAGUACGUGAAAUUGUCAAAAGGGAAGCGUUUGACACCAGUGUUGUUUUUCUGAAAAUCAAUUAAAGAACUGUUUAUGCUAAGUUGUUUAGACUUUAUCAGCUAACUGUUUAGUUUUGAGCUUUUCUUUAAUGCACUUUUCAGUUAACAAGUCAACAUCAAUUUCUUUUGCUGUAAAAAGCUUGAGGAAGGUGGCUUGAGAUUCGUCUUAAGUGUUUAUAGCCUCUUGCCUAUGCAGUCGGAGAGAUUGAGGUCUGCAGCGUAGAUCCUUCGGGGCUAAAUGCAUUUGUGCUAAGUUAUAGCAUUUUAUAGACAACUUGUUGACUAUGAUUUGUCUUGUAGCUUACUCGCUUAUGUUAUUUUACCUACGCUUAGGAUGUUGAGUCGUAGAGCACGCAG